RNAcentral lists this ribosomal RNA (256 nucleotides) under uncultured bacterium. Its description in RNAcentral is "partial 16S ribosomal RNA". It matches the Rfam family "Bacterial small subunit ribosomal RNA", at positions 524 to 776 of the family's 1533-position model. The record is from RNAcentral.
UACGUAGGUGGCAAGCGUUGUCCGGAAUUAUUGGGCGUAAAGCGCGCGCAGGCGGUCUUUUAAGUCUGAUGUGAAAGCCCACGGCUCAACCGUGGAGGGUCAUUGGAAACUGGGGGACUUGGAGUGCAGAGAGGAAAGUGGAAUUCCAAGUGUAGCGGUGAAAUGCGUAGAGAUUUGGAAGGAACACCAGUGGCGAAGGCGACUUUCGUGGUCUGUAACUGACGCUGAGGCGCGAAAAGCGUGGGGAGCAAACAGG